Long non-coding RNA from Oncorhynchus kisutch (coho salmon), 523 nucleotides. RefSeq lists it as uncharacterized. The record is from RefSeq and is a predicted model, not a curated record. Lineage: Eukaryota; Metazoa; Chordata; Actinopteri; Salmoniformes; Salmonidae. The transcript has 2 exons.
CACACAGAAAUGACUGGCCAGUCGGGCUUGUGGUAAAAACCUUUCCCAGUACUGACAAAAAGGUUAGGAAAGUAGAACUAAAAAUUGUCAAGCAAGGAGCUGCUAAGGUGUUUCUGAGACCAAUCUCAGAGAUUGUUGUUCUUCUUUCUGAAGCAUCCUAGAGACAAAAGAUAAAAAUAGAAAGGACAUUAUUUGUUUCUUGAUAUGUUUUAUUUCAUAGUGGCACAAUUUCAUUAUGCCAGGCGGGGAGUGUGCUGCCAUCCUGUUAGAAGGUAACAGAUUAUUUUAUUACAAUGGUUAAAUUGGAUUUUCAUUGUGUUCAAUGGUGUUAUUUGCCCCCUAGUGGCGCUUUCUGGUACUUAGAAAGACGACGCAAACAGGAAGUACAGAAUUAGUUUUGCAUGCAAAGAAGCAGCUACAAACAACGCUACGGUGCAGGUCUUUCGGUUAUUUCUUGUCACGCUUCAGCCUUGGAAAUAUUUGUUUUUUCACAACAUAAACGUUUUCAAUAUAUUCAUUCAAG